Molecule: non-coding RNA, 70 nt
Organism: Podarcis lilfordi (Lilford's wall lizard)
Lineage: Eukaryota; Metazoa; Chordata; Lepidosauria; Squamata; Lacertidae
Source: the annotation of a GenBank genome assembly
GGAUAGCUCAGCUGGUUACAGCGUGGUGCUGAUGAUGCCAAAGUUGUGGGUUCGAGUCCCCUGUGGAGCA